RNAcentral lists this long non-coding RNA (1017 nucleotides) under Anolis carolinensis (green anole). RNAcentral's name for it is "lncRNA (ENSACAG00000042558.1)". The record is from RNAcentral. Lineage: Eukaryota; Metazoa; Chordata; Lepidosauria; Squamata; Anolidae.
AUGGCAUUUCUAAAGUCUAAGGAUGACAAAAAGGCAAUGGGAGUGGGUGCAGGAAGAAGAGGUUCAAUUCCGGAUGACCUAUCCCUCCGUGAUUUGAUGAGGGAGAUGCAGAAAAUCUCCGAAAAACAAGAUGCAUAUCAAAAGAUAGCGGAGGAACAAAGAAUGGAGGCAAGGAAAGAGAUGAGAGAAGAAAUAGAUACACUAAAAAAGGAAAUCUCAAUGGAAUUAGGGGUUAUGAAGAAAGAUCUGGACUAUUUAAGACAAGAAAUGAAACAAACAAAGAUAGAAACAAAGAAAAUAGAAAAAACACAAGAUAGAAUAAGCAAUAAAUUGCAAGGAUUAGAGGAAAAAAACAUUAAAUUAGAAGAUAAAUAUGAACAAUGGGAGCAAAAGGAAUUGGAAUUUCAAUUAAGAUUCCGAAACAUCCAGGAAGAAGCAAAGGAAAAUAUCAGACUGAUCAUUACCAAAAUGGUGGCAGAGAAACUACGGAUAACAGAAGAAGAAGCAGAUCAAAAUAUCGACCGGGUAUAUAGAGUAACUACGAAUUACUCUAAGAGAAACAAAGCUGAUAGGGAUGUGAUAGUACAAUUCGGACGAAAAAGAGUUAGAGAUGAAAUUUUGAAAGAAAAUAGCCAAACACCAACAAUAUUUAAAGGGAAGAGAGUAGCAAUACUUAAAGAAUACCCAACAUCGACCCUGAUAAAGAGGAGAAAAUAUUUCUUUUUAACGGAGGACCUGAAAACACUGGGAAUACGAUUCAGAUGGGAAAAAAAAGAGGGCAUUAUGGUCUCCUACAAAGAGAAUAAGUAUUGGCUGACAACUGAAGAGAAGGCCAGGGAGUUCCAUAAAAGACUGAAAAGUGAGAUGGGUGAAAGUAAAUCUAAAGAAGGCAUGGUUCCAAGAGAAACCAAAAAAACCAAGAGAGCAAGGUUUGAUUCUCCGGAAGAAGAAGAUAUUCAAUCAGGAAAAGAGGAAGACAUCUGCGAUAGAGAAGAAGAGGAAGAAGAAGGAGUAGAA